RNAcentral lists this ribosomal RNA (266 nucleotides) under uncultured bacterium. RNAcentral's name for it is "partial 16S ribosomal RNA". It matches the Rfam family "Bacterial small subunit ribosomal RNA", at positions 86 to 354 of the family's 1533-position model. The record is from RNAcentral.
UGCCGGCGACCGGCGACGGGUGCGUAACGCGUAUGUAACCUACCUUUGACAGGGGGAUAACAUCGAGAAAUUGGUACUAAUACCCCAUAACAUCACCGGAGGCAUCUUCGGUGGUUGAAAACUCAGGUGGUCAGAGAUGGACAUGCGUUGUAUUAGCUAGUUGGUGAGGUAACGGCUCACCAAGGCGACGAUACAUAGGGGGACUGAGAGGUCAACCCCCCACAUUGGUACUGAGACACGGCCCAGACUCCUACGGAAGGCAGCAG